CUAUGCGCCUUGCCAGCCCGCUCAGGUGUGCCAGCCGCCGCGGUAAUACGGAGGAUGCGAGCGUUAUCCGGAUUUAUGGUUUAAAGGGUGCGUAGGUGGUUAAUUAAGUCAGCGGUGAAAGUUUGUGGCUCAACCAUAAAAUUGCCGUUGAAACUGGUUGACUUGAGUAUAUUUGAGGUAGGCGGAAUGCGUGGUGUAGCGGUGAAAUGCAUAGAUAUCACGCAGAACUCCGAUUGCGAAGGCAGCUUACUAAACUAUAACUGACACUGAAGCACGAAAGCGUGGGGAUCAAACAGG
Molecule: ribosomal RNA, 297 nt
Filed under: uncultured bacterium
Lineage: Bacteria
Description: partial 16S ribosomal RNA
Rfam family: Bacterial small subunit ribosomal RNA
Source: RNAcentral